GAUGAACGCUGGCGGCGUGCUUAACACAUGCAAGUCGAACGGUGAAGCAGGAGCUUGCUCCUGUGGAUCAGUGGCGAACGGGUGAGUAACACGUGAGCAACCUGCCCCUGACUCUGGGAUAAGCGCUGGAAACGGCGUCUAAUACUGGAUAUGUGAUGUGACCGCAUGGUCUGCAUCUGGAAAGAAUUUCGGUUGGGGAUGGGCUCGCGGCCUAUCAGCUUGUUGGUGAGGUAAUGACUCACCAUGGCGUCGACGGGUAGCCGGCCUGAGAGGGUGACCGGCCACACUGGGACUGAGACACGGCCCAGACUCCUACGGGAGGCAGCAGUGGGGAAUAUUGCACAAUGGGCGGAAGCCUGAUGCAGCAACGCCGCGUGAGGGAUGACGGCCUUCGGGCUGUAAACCUCUUUUAGCAGGGAAGAAGCGAAAGUGACGGUACCUGCAGAAAAAGCACCGGCUAACUACGUGCCAGCCGCCGCAGUAA
Molecule: ribosomal RNA, 484 nt
Filed under: uncultured bacterium
Lineage: Bacteria
Description: partial 16S ribosomal RNA
Rfam family: Bacterial small subunit ribosomal RNA
Source: RNAcentral